This is a ribosomal RNA of Phytophthora infestans T30-4, 1026 nucleotides long. It matches the Rfam family "Eukaryotic large subunit ribosomal RNA", at positions 2389 to 3399 of the family's 3401-position model. NCBI's taxonomy places the organism in Eukaryota, Oomycota, Peronosporomycetes, Peronosporales, Peronosporaceae. The record is from Rfam.
AAUAAUCAGCGGGGAAAGAAGACCCUGUUGAGCUUGACUCUAGUCUGACGUUGUGAAAUGACUUGGGAGGUGUAGAAUAAGUGGGAGGCUCUGCCGUCUGUGAAAUACCACUACUCUCAAUGUUGUUUUACUUAUACCAUGAUGUAGCAUCUGUGUGGCCUCGCGGUCGCUCAGUUCUAGUUGUAAACUUGGGCUUUUGCCUGGGUGAGCUACGUGGAAGAACAUCUCUCUCGGCGGGGGGAGAGUUUGGCUGGGGCGGCACAUUCUGUUAAAUGAUAACACAGGUGUCCUAAGGUGAGCUCAAUGAGAACAGAAAUCUCAUGUAGAACAAAAGGGUAAAAGCUCACUUGAUUUUGAUUUUCAGUAUGAAUACCAACCGUGAAAGCGUGGCCUAUCGAUCCUUUAGUUCUUUUGAAUUUAAGCUAGAGGUGUCAGAAAGUUACCACAGGAUAAACUGGCUUGUGGCAGCCAGCGUCCCAUAGCGACGUUGCUUUUGAAUUCUUCGAUGUCGCUCUCCUAUUCAUGCGAAGUAGAACUCGCCAAUUUGUUGGAUGUUCACCACUAAUAGGGAACGUGAGCUGGGUUUAGACCGUCGUGAGACAGGUUAGUUUUACCCUACUGAUGAGUUCGUUGUCUAAACAGUAAUCCAACCCAGUACGAGAGGAACCGUUGGUUCAGAUAAUUGGUAACUGCGGUUAGCUGAAAAGCUAGUGCCGCCAAGCUACCAUCUGUAGGAUUAUGGCUGAACGCCUCUAAGUCAGAAUCCAUGCUGGAAUAGACGAUAAUCACCUUUCCCGAUGUGCCGCGAAUAGCGAUAGGUGUCUUCUGGACACCCAACAUCAUACAAUUGCAACGCACUCCGCUGCCUGUCAAGUACUGGCGGUGGAGAGUAGGCUGAUUUGUAAUUUCAAAUAUUGGGAAAGAUAAAUCCUUUGUAGACGACUUAACUACAGAACGGGGUGUUGUAAGCAUGAGAGUAGUCUUGUACUACGAUCUGCUGAGAUUUAGCCCUUGUUCUAUUGAUUU